Molecule: long non-coding RNA, 1157 nt
Filed under: Chloebia gouldiae (Gouldian finch)
Lineage: Eukaryota; Metazoa; Chordata; Aves; Passeriformes; Passeridae
Description: Erythrura gouldiae (Gouldian finch) lncRNA (ENSEGOG00005014924.1)
Source: RNAcentral
GGGGAGGGGGCGGGGUUUAACCUUCCCGCCACCGAAGGCUGGCACCUUCCUGCUCAGGCUCUGCUUCAAGAAGAAUUGGAUGAAUAAUGUGUGCACAUUCACUUCUGACAUUGAAUUCCCAAAAAUGUGACAGCCUUAACCCUGGACCUGCCUGCUCUAAGUACCUGGGAUGACCUGGGAGUUCCAUGCACAUUUCCCAGCACUCAGAUGGACAAGGGCAGCUUGCUGCCUGCAUUUUGGGCGAUACUGACUGAGGUACUGGCUCCUCCUCACCUCCAGCUCACAGGACACAGGGUAUUGCAGGAUCUGAAACUGGUUCUGGACAUCAGAUGGGAGCUGGUGAAGGGAUGUCUCACGCUCCAGCAGCAGAAGGAGCACACUCCAGCAGCCAGUUCCUUAACAUGGAUUUCUCUCUCGGUGGGUGGGGACGGAUCCUCUGGUGUGCCCCAGGGUGGUGUGGGCAGGGCCCUGGGAAGGAGAGGGAUGAGCAGGGGGAGGUGCUCCUGGGAUACACCAGAGAGUAGCAACAGCCCAGUGCACAUUGCUGGGCUUUGGCUGCCGGGCAGGAUAUUUGUCUCCUCACAGACCUGCACAUUUGCCCUGGUUUCAGCCAGGACAGGAUGAAAUUUUUUCACAGCAGCCAUGAGGGGCAGGGUCUGGAGCCGUGUGGCUGGGUCGAGGUUGUUAUUCCAUACCAUGCACUUCACUUCCAGGGUGGAAAGGUGGAAGUGAGGGACUCUCCCUUCCUGAGGGAGAAUGACAUUCCCUUUUGUUGGGGAAAAUAAUGGUGUAGGCAGGAAGAGCUGUUGGGUGUUGUGGUUUUCCAUGUAGAUAAAUAAUUCUGUAUACCUUGUGUUAUAAAUAUUGUUGUUAUUACUGUUUUUUUUCUUAUCUCGUUGCUGUUUCCAGUUGCUGUUCUUAUCUCAACACAUGAUUUGCACCUUUUGUGCCUCCAAUUCUCGAUGCCAUCCCCUCCGGAGAGGAGGAAGGUGGAGGGGAAGGGGGGCAGUGAGAGGCAUCUGGUUUGGGAGAGUCUUGAUGGAGACACUGAAUUGGGGAAUAGAAUUUCUAAAGCACAGCAUCCUUCUAUCUCAUCACACAGACCUGCACAUUUAAUCUCAGCUGCUGCAUUGCAACAAACAGAGCGACAAUUCAGG